RNAcentral lists this long non-coding RNA (690 nucleotides) under Callithrix jacchus (white-tufted-ear marmoset). Its description in RNAcentral is "lncRNA (ENSCJAG00000083663.1)". The record is from RNAcentral. Lineage: Eukaryota; Metazoa; Chordata; Mammalia; Primates; Cebidae.
CUUUCAGGCACAGUUUGAUAUAGGGGCCCAAAUGACGCCAAAGAACCCAGGAGCCUCAUCAGCUUGGAUUUGUACCCUCAAAUGUCGGUUUCUUUCUCUGCAGAUUUUCCUCUUACAACAGCGCUGCUGCCACAGUUUCAGACUUUGUACUGUCACAGCUCCAAAUUCACAGGAAAGCAGAGAUGGCAAAGAGAGAGGCCAACAAUUCCCAGAAGACCCAGAGAAGUAGCCAGGGUUGGCCAACCAGGAGCAGGGUGGAGAUCAGGGAAGUCUGCAGCAGCUCUCAGUGUAAGUUCUGGCUUCUCUAGCCCUGCCUAUCCUCCUUUCAUACCUUGGCCCCCUAAGACCUUCACUUUGGGGAAACUACCCAUAGACUGGGGUUCUUUCUCUACCUCCCUCUCCUUUCUAGCCCUUUUCUCUGUAGGGUCUGUAGAAAUUUCUACCUGAAGGGUCAUCUCAAGGGGUCUGCAUCCCUCUCCCUCAAGUCCAUUUGACUUAGCCUCUCUGGGAUAACUCUUCCUGGAAAGCGAAGCAGUGAGUGGUUCUAAAGAAGUGAGCGCAGAACCUGAACAAGCGAUUCAUUCCAGCAGAUGCUCAGAGAUCAAACAUCUUUGCCACAUGCUGCUUAUGAGAUGGUUAAAAUCCAGCAACUCCCCAGUCAGUAGAAGUGUGCUUUACAAAGGCUCAGAG